CUUAUUAAGAGCGGCUGAGGGACAGGCCCUGUGAAGCCCGGCAACCUGAAUUUCAAGGUGCUAAAUCCUGCGGCAUUCUGCCGAAAGAUAAGG
RNAcentral lists this non-coding RNA (93 nucleotides) under bovine gut metagenome. Its description in RNAcentral is "SAM riboswitch (S box leader)". It matches the Rfam family "SAM riboswitch aptamer (S box leader)". Rfam says of the family: The SAM riboswitch is found upstream of a number of genes which code for proteins involved in methionine or cysteine biosynthesis in Gram-positive bacteria. The SAM riboswitch acts at the level of transcription termination control. The record is from RNAcentral.